UAGAGUAUAGUGUAUGGGUAGCACAAGGAGUUUUGAGCUCUUUAGAUUAGGUUCAAUUCCUAUUACUCUAG
Molecule: transfer RNA, 71 nt
Filed under: Diplomys labilis (rufous soft-furred spiny-rat)
Lineage: Eukaryota; Metazoa; Chordata; Mammalia; Rodentia; Echimyidae
Description: tRNA-Gln
Rfam family: tRNA
About the family: Transfer RNA (tRNA) molecules are approximately 80 nucleotides in length. Their secondary structure includes four short double-helical elements and three loops (D, anti-codon, and T loops). Further hydrogen bonds mediate the characteristic L-shaped molecular structure. tRNAs have two regions of fundamental functional importance: the anti-codon, which is responsible for specific mRNA codon recognition, and the 3' end, to which the tRNAs corresponding amino acid is attached (by aminoacyl-tRNA synthetases). tRNAs cope with the degeneracy of the genetic code in two manners: having more than one tRNA (with a specific anti-codon) for a particular amino acid; and 'wobble' base-pairing, i.e. permitting non-standard base-pairing at the 3rd anti-codon position.
Source: RNAcentral